AUUCCAUGAUGUGGAAAUCUCCUUUGAAGAUCCUUAUAUCUCUCCCAUGCUUCAUAAAGACUCUCGUCAUCCCUUGGUCCAAAAGAAGUUAACUCAUUCCUUAGUUU
This is a small nucleolar RNA of Hevea brasiliensis (rubber tree), 107 nucleotides long. NCBI's taxonomy places the organism in Eukaryota, Viridiplantae, Streptophyta, Magnoliopsida, Malpighiales, Euphorbiaceae. The record is from RefSeq and is a predicted model, not a curated record.